UAAGUCAUGAAAUUCCAAAUUUUGGAAAGC
RNAcentral lists this small RNA (30 nucleotides) under Bombyx mori (domestic silkworm). RNAcentral's name for it is "ovarian small RNA-19395". Lineage: Eukaryota; Metazoa; Arthropoda; Insecta; Lepidoptera; Bombycidae. The record is from RNAcentral.